This 68-nucleotide transfer RNA is filed under the name Chattonella subsalsa. The record is from RNAcentral. Lineage: Eukaryota; Raphidophyceae; Chattonellales; Chattonellaceae.
GCGACGUGGUUCAGUUGGUUAGUUAAUGACUUCUAAAUGUCAAGGCUCCGGGUUCGAGUCCUGGUAGC